This 400-nucleotide ribosomal RNA is filed under the name uncultured bacterium. Its description in RNAcentral is "bacterial SSU rRNA". It matches the Rfam family "Bacterial small subunit ribosomal RNA", at positions 361 to 776 of the family's 1533-position model. The record is from RNAcentral.
AUAUUGGGCAAUGGGCGCAAGCCUGACCCAGCAACGCCGCGUGAAGGAAGAAGGCUUUCGGGUUGUAAACUUCUUUUGACAGGGAAGAGCAGAAGACGGUACCUGUCGAAUAAGCCACGGCUAACUACGUGCCAGCAGCCGCGGUAAUACGUAGGUGGCAAGCGUUGUCCGGAUUUACUGGGUGUAAAGGGCGUGUAGCCGGGCUGACAAGUCAGAUGUGAAAUUCCGGGGCUCAACCCCGGACCUGCAUUUGAAACUGUUGGUCUUGAGUAUCGGAGAGGCAGGCGGAAUUCCUAGUGUAGCGGUGAAAUGCGUAGAUAUUAGGAGGAACACCAGUGGCGAAGGCGGCCUGCUGGACGACAACUGACGGUGAGGCGCGAAAGCGUGGGGAGCAAACAGG